This 334-nucleotide unclassified non-coding RNA is filed under the name Hevea brasiliensis (rubber tree). The record is from RNAcentral. Lineage: Eukaryota; Viridiplantae; Streptophyta; Magnoliopsida; Malpighiales; Euphorbiaceae.
AAACACUGUUGCAGAAGACCAUCCCACAUUUAGGCAUUCAGAAGACCAAACAUCAGAAUUCAUUCUUCUUCUGUAUCCGAACGAAUAGUGGAUUUCUGGGGCUUGCCAUCGACCCACUUGGAGACGGCAAAAUGGACCUUCUCGCGAGUGAGAGCUUCGGUCUUGUAAGGCUCUUUGAGGCAGUUCCUCACCAGAUUAGCACAUAUGUUUGAGUACGUUAUAUAAGUCAUCCCCGCUGCUCUCCAGAACGGCACUGCUGCAUUGGAAGCCAUUUCCAACCCACUUGAGUUCUCGGUGCUUGCCUUCUCUGGUUAUAUUCGGCUUUCAAACAACC